CAAAGGCGUACAGUACUUCCAACCGGCUGCUAACUGGGUGGGAAUUUGCAAUCUUUGUUUCCCCCUCCUCCAACCUCCCUAGCUGCAGGCAGAUGUGAUUUUGAACUCUCUCUCUCCCCCUCUUUCUUUACUUUCCCCUCCUCUCUCCUGUACAGAGAGGGAUUUCUUUUUCUACUUCUCUCCCUCGAUUCCAAGACUCAAGAAGUCUUUUUCUACCUUGGGAGGAGCCAAGCCAAGAUGUUCAAGUUUGAUUCCUGUUCAGUAGAAGCCUUGGAAAUACAGGGAAGCACCUUCAAGCAGAACAGAAGCAAGAUUAGGAACUCAUGCUGGAAUCUAGUCUCUGGGCCUUCAGGACCUCUGUUCUUGAAGAGCAGUUAAGGGUUUGAGGAGAAUCAAGAAGAACAAAGGAGGAAGAAGCUCCACGAUGUUCUAGAAGUAAUGGAGGAGAACAGCUUGGCAAAAUUUAUGAGCUGUCUUCUGUGGAGAGCAGAGACCCAGAGGGUCUGGGUUUGAAUCCUGACUCUCCUAGUCACACCAGAUUGUGUGACCCUGGGCAAGUCACUUCCCUUCUAGAGGAUUUCCACUUCCCCACGUGGCAAAUGAAGAAGUUGCACAAGCCGAUCUUGAAGGGUUCCUUUUCUCUCUAAACACUGUAGAUCCCAUGAAUGCUUUGGAAGCCUUACCUUCAAACCUGAUCUCUUCAUCCUGGGACAUCUCUUGCUAAUUGUUUAUGUCAGUGUUAGCCCUGAAUGGUUAUUUGUGAUGUGUGGAAGAGCGAGGACAAGGAGUCUGGGUCAUUUUGAGCAGUUAUUAUUGUUCUAUUUGGUAUUGUAAGUGGUCAUUCCAUGAUUUGCUUCAUUACAGACAGUGCAUUUAGUUAAGCGUGUGGAUUUAAUGGGGGUCCAUUCUCAGCAGGCCAGGAGGAGCUCAGCUAUAGAAUGAUUACAGAUGCAAACGUUGGGGGAGGGGGAUAAGGAACACAGCAGGAGACACAGGGACUCAGGGUUAGACUUGGGGGUGGGGAGGCUGUUGGGUCCAUUCUCCUACCCUUUCCUGAGAUGAUGAGCGAGGGAUCCCAAGGAAGCUGACUAAUGUCAGGGAGGCCAGGACCCUCAUUACUGAGACCAGUGGCACAUUUCUUCUCUUUCCCUUUGGGGGAUAUUCCUUGCAUGUUCUAAAGCCCGUCCAGUAGAGACACAAUCUUUCCUGGAGGCCCAUGGGAGGGCUUUGUGAAGCCACUAUAUCCACCUCAUAGAGAACUAAAAAUGACCACAAUUAAAGCUGAAAGAUGACAAAGCACCUAAGGUCAAAAUCACCAGCUCUCCCUCCCCAUGUAUUUUUUUUAAAAGAUACAUUGAAGGAAGCAGGUCUCCAGGGAUGAUUUGGUUACCCAAAAAAAUAAAAAAAAGUUUUAGAAAACCGAA
RNAcentral lists this long non-coding RNA (1424 nucleotides) under Vombatus ursinus (common wombat). Its description in RNAcentral is "lncRNA (ENSVURG00010018309.1)". The record is from RNAcentral. Lineage: Eukaryota; Metazoa; Chordata; Mammalia; Diprotodontia; Vombatidae.